RNAcentral lists this ribosomal RNA (427 nucleotides) under uncultured bacterium. RNAcentral's name for it is "partial 16S ribosomal RNA". It matches the Rfam family "Bacterial small subunit ribosomal RNA", at positions 355 to 774 of the family's 1533-position model. The record is from RNAcentral.
UGGGGAAUAUUGCACAAUGGGCGCAAGCCUGAUGCAGCCAUGCCGCGUGUAUGAAGAAGGCCUUCGGGUUGUAAAGUACUUUCAGCGGGGAGGAAGGGAGUAAAGUUAAUACCUUUGCUCAUUGACGUUACCCGCAGAAGAAGCACCGGCUAACUCCGUGCCAGCAGCCGCGGUAAUACGGAGGGUGCAAGCGUUAAUCGGAAUUACUGGGCGUAAAGCGCACGCAGGCGGUUUGUUAAGUCAGAUGUGAAAUCCCCGGGCUCAACCUGGGAACUGCAUCUGAUACUGGCAAGCUUGAGUCUCGUAGAGGGGGGUAGAAUUCCAGGUGUAGCGGUGAAAUGCGUAGAGAUCUGGAGGAAUACCGGUGGCGAAGGCGGCCCCCUGGACGAGGACUGACGCUCAGGUGCGAAAGCGUGGGGAGCAAACA